AGCUGACCCCAACUCAGUUCUGUUUCUUGUACAGACUAUUCUAGUCCUGUCUCCCUAGCGUUCCUGAUGUUGUGUUUCUAGCUGAUCCUAACUCUUCACCUUCUAAAAGGACGUGUGUCUCCACGGCCCUUCAAAGCAUAAUGGAAGGAGAGAGAGAGUCGCAUCCUGGUUUUGUCCCUUACUGACUAUGUGCAGGAGCAGAUCUAAAUAACAGAAUACACAGUCUCACCAAGGUCAUUGUCAAAGACAAUGGGGCUCCUCUGCUUAGCAUUAGGGAGCUUUGAUUUCCCAGUUCUUGCCUGGACCACUGUGAACCUGGCUCAUAGACAAGGGAUCGCUCCUUAAACAAAACAAAUGAACGAAUCACAGACUCACAGCCUGGUGAAGCUACUUCUUUGGUAUUCAUAGGUUUUAUGUAAAUAGCGACAGCCAUCGGUGGGACAAGAUCUUCCUGCACAAGACACUCCCGCCUGUCCAGGGCUCCUCUGAUCAUUCUGAUCCCAUGGCCUCGCAGCCCUGACCUGCUCCAUCCACUACAUACCCUGAAAAGCGUUCUUGCAGCGGGCAACAGUCCCUGCAGAAGCCUAUUUCACAUGUCCGCAGCAAGAAGAACAGGAGAGUGCCUUGGAGAGAGUAUUUUGUAAGCAAUGGGAAAAGGUAUUAUUGUUACUAGUUCUUCUGGAAGCAUAUUUGCCUAUGCAGAUUCAUCAUCUGUAAUAAUUAAAUGCAAUACUUUUGUUUCUGGCUAUGUAUUGUAGUUUGGAAAAGCAUGACAAUAUUCAAUUAAAAAUAACUUUGAAAAUGUAUACAGAGAUCCUUCAGCUGGCUAAAUAUUCUACUUGAAGACAGAUGAAUAAAUAAUUUUAAUAUCAAAUCUAGACUAUGCUUUUUAGAAGUAAAGAACAGAGAAUCUUUUAUAAUAAGGUAGCUUGUCACCUUCUGGGCAUUUUCAGAUCAUCAAAUGAUACGGGUGUAUUAUAGUAUUGAAAAGUGUCAUCCUAUUAAGCGGUUAUAGCAAAGUUGCAAGACACAAGGUUAACAUACAAAAAUCAAUUGCUUUCUUAUUUACUAGCAAUAAACAAUUGGAAUUUGAAAUUGAAAACACAAUAUCAUUUAUAUUAGCAACAACAACAAAAGAAAUACUUAU
Molecule: long non-coding RNA, 1147 nt
Organism: Equus caballus (horse)
Lineage: Eukaryota; Metazoa; Chordata; Mammalia; Perissodactyla; Equidae
Source: Ensembl